Molecule: ribosomal RNA, 804 nt
Filed under: uncultured Glomeromycotina
Lineage: Eukaryota; Fungi; Glomeromycota
Description: SSU rRNA
Rfam family: Eukaryotic small subunit ribosomal RNA
Source: RNAcentral
GAUUAUCAACUUUCGAUGGUAGGAUAGAGGCCCACCAUGGUCUUGACGGGUAACGGGGAAUUAGGGUUCGAUUCCGGAGAGGGAGCUGAGAAACGGCUACCACACCCAAGGAAGGCAGCAGGCGCGCAAAUUACCCAAUCCCGAUACGGGAAGGUAGUGAUAAUAAAUAACAAUCAGGGGCUCUUUUGGGUCUCGAGAUUGGAAUGAGUACAAUUUAAAACCUUUGACGAGGAACAAUUGGAGGGCAAGUCUGGUAUUAGCAGCCGCGGUAAUUCCAGCUCCAAUAGCGUAUAUUAGUGUUGUUGCGGUUAAAAAGCUCGUAGUUGAAUUUCGGGAUUGGGAUAUAUCGGUCGUGCCUUUAGGGGCAUGAAACGGUGUGUAGCCAAUUUCCCACCUUCUGGUGAGUCGGGAUGCUCUUGGGCGUUUCGAUGAAUCAGGACCUUUACUUUGAAAAAAUUAGAGUGUUUAAAGCGGGCAUUUUUGCUUGAAUACAUUAGCAUGGAAUAAUAAAAUAGGACGAUGGUUUUAUUUUGUUGGUUUUAGGGCCACGUAAUGAUUAAUAGGGAUAGUUGGGGGCAUUAGUAUUCAAUUGUCAGAGGUGAAAUUCUUGGAUUUAUUGAGGACUAACUACUGCGAAAGCAUUUGCCAAGGAUGUUUUCAUUAAUCAAGAACGAAAGUCAGGGGAUCAAAGACGAUUUAUGUACGUCGUAGUCUUAACCAUAAACUAUGCCGACUAGGAAUCAGACAAAGUUCAUUUUUUAACGACUUGUUUGGUACCUUACGGGAAACCAAAGUGUUUGGGUU